UGCCAGCAAAUGACCAAUCUCAACUG
RNAcentral lists this non-coding RNA (26 nucleotides) under Mus musculus (house mouse). Lineage: Eukaryota; Metazoa; Chordata; Mammalia; Rodentia; Muridae. The record is from RNAcentral.